This 84-nucleotide ribosomal RNA is filed under the name Garcinia mangostana. RNAcentral's name for it is "partial 5.8S ribosomal RNA". It matches the Rfam family "5.8S ribosomal RNA", at positions 73 to 154 of the family's 154-position model. From Rfam's summary of the family: 5.8S ribosomal RNA (5.8S rRNA) is a component of the large subunit of the eukaryotic ribosome. RNAcentral also lists the same sequence under 1 other name. The record is from RNAcentral. Lineage: Eukaryota; Viridiplantae; Streptophyta; Magnoliopsida; Malpighiales; Clusiaceae.
UGCAGAAUCCCGUGAACCAUCGAGUUUUUGAACGCAAGUUGCGCCCAAAGCCUUUUGGUUGAGGGCACGUCUGCCUGGGUGUCA